This 253-nucleotide ribosomal RNA is filed under the name uncultured bacterium. RNAcentral's name for it is "partial 16S ribosomal RNA". It matches the Rfam family "Bacterial small subunit ribosomal RNA", at positions 524 to 776 of the family's 1533-position model. The record is from RNAcentral.
UACGUAGGGACCAAGCGUUGUUCGGAUUUACUGGGCGUAAAGGGCGCGUAGGCGGCGCGGUAAGUCACUUGUGAAAUCUCUGAGCUUAACUCAGAACGGCCAAGUGAUACUGCAGUGCUAGAGUGUGGAAGGGGCAAUCGGAAUUCUUGGUGUAGCGGUGAAAUGCGCAGAUAUCAGGAGGAACACCUAUUGCGAAGGCAGCUCGCUGGGACGUAACUGACGCUGAGACGCGAAAGCGUGGGGAGCAAACAGG